Molecule: ribosomal RNA, 606 nt
Filed under: Triticum aestivum (bread wheat)
Lineage: Eukaryota; Viridiplantae; Streptophyta; Magnoliopsida; Poales; Poaceae
Description: partial small subunit ribosomal RNA
Source: RNAcentral
AUGUGCGCGCCGGGGCGGUGGAAGCUCAGCGCCGGUGGCGUCCCCAUCCCCCCGCUGCCCGACGUCGACGUGCGCCCUGACUACUUCGCCGACGAGGUCGACCGCGUGCGGGCGUCGCUGACGGAGGAGCAGCGGGCCCUCUCGCAGUACGCCGCCGGCAACCACGAAGCGUGGGCGGCGUACUUCCAGCACCGGCAGGCGCAACGGCUGGGCUCCACCAACAACGCGCCGGUGGUGCGGGAGACCAAGAACAGCGAGGGUCGCCGCCUGUGGUGGGGCGCCCCCGGCCGCACGCUCCACGCCGUUCUCCGGCACCUCGAGGGCAGCAACGACCCGCCGUUGACGUACCCUGCCGCCCUGGUCCGGAGCGGCGGCCAAUGGAUGCUGAGGAGGACAGCGUCCUCUUCUUCUUCCUCCUCCCGCUCCUCCUCACACUCCUCCGGGUCGCUGGCGCUGUUCAGCGUCAAGGCCGAGCCCGCGGAGACGCUGCUCGGCCGGCGCACCCGCAGCGCCGACAUCGUCAUCAACGAGGGAGGGCACGCCUCCUCCUCGGCUCCUCCCUGCUUCGUCAAGCCGAAGAUAGAGCCAGGACUCGCGCCUCCAUGA